AACGCGAAGAACCUUACCCGGGUUUGAAUUGCAUCGGUUGUAGCCGGCAGAGAUGUCGGCGAGCCCGCAAGGGCGCUGAUGUGAAGGUGCUGCAUGGCUGUCGUCAGCUCGUGCCGUGAGGUGUUGGGUUAAGUCCCGCAACGAGCGCAACCCUUGUCCUUAGUUGCCAGCGCGUAAAGGCGGGCACUCUGGGGAGACUGCCGUCAUAAGACGGAGGAAGGUGGGGAUGACGUCAAGUCAGCAUGGCCCUUACGUCCGGGGCUACACACGUGCUACAAUGGUCGGUACAACGGGCAGCGAGACCGCGAGGUGGAGCGAAUCCCUUUAAAGCCGGCCUCAGUUCGGAUUGCAGGCUGCAACUCGCCUGCAUGAAGUUGGAAUCACUAGUAACUGCAGAUCAGCUACGCUGCGGUGAAUGCGUUCCCGGGCCUUGUACACACCGACUGUAC
This 449-nucleotide ribosomal RNA is filed under the name uncultured bacterium. Its description in RNAcentral is "bacterial SSU rRNA". It matches the Rfam family "Bacterial small subunit ribosomal RNA", at positions 958 to 1399 of the family's 1533-position model. The record is from RNAcentral.